This 27-nucleotide non-coding RNA is filed under the name Mus musculus (house mouse). Lineage: Eukaryota; Metazoa; Chordata; Mammalia; Rodentia; Muridae. The record is from RNAcentral.
UGCAAGCAAACUAGGAAAAAACCACAG